UAACCUCAGCAAAGUUGGUAGCGUGU
This 26-nucleotide non-coding RNA is filed under the name Mus musculus (house mouse). Lineage: Eukaryota; Metazoa; Chordata; Mammalia; Rodentia; Muridae. The record is from RNAcentral.